GCCCGGAUGGUGAAAUCGGUAGACACAAGGGAUUUAAAAUCCCUCGGCCUUUGGCUGUGUGGGUUCAAGUCCCACUCCGGGCACCA
Molecule: transfer RNA, 86 nt
Filed under: Tenebrionibacter intestinalis
Lineage: Bacteria; Pseudomonadati; Pseudomonadota; Gammaproteobacteria; Enterobacterales; Enterobacteriaceae
Also listed under: 1 other name
Description: tRNA-Leu
Rfam family: tRNA
About the family: Transfer RNA (tRNA) molecules are approximately 80 nucleotides in length. Their secondary structure includes four short double-helical elements and three loops (D, anti-codon, and T loops).
Source: RNAcentral